GACGAACGCUGGCGGCGUGCUUAACACAUGCAAGUCGAGCGGUAAGGCCCUUUCGGGGUACGACGAGCGGCGAACGGGUGAGUAACACGUGGGUGACCUGCCCUCAGCUCUGGGAUAAGCCUGGGAAACCGGGUCUAAUACUGGAUAUGACUCCAUGACGCAUGUUGUGGGGUGGAAAGCCUUGUGCGGCUGAGGAUGGGCCCGCGGCCUAUCAGCUUGUUGGUGGGUGAUGGCCUACCAAGGCGACGACGGGUAGCCGGCCUGAGAGGGCGACGGCCACACUGGGACUGAGACACGGCCCAGACUCCUACGGGAGGCGAGCAGUGGGGAAUCUUGCGCAAUGGGCGAAAGCCUGACGCAGCGACGCCGCGUGAGGGAUGACGGCCU
RNAcentral lists this ribosomal RNA (387 nucleotides) under uncultured bacterium. RNAcentral's name for it is "bacterial SSU rRNA". It matches the Rfam family "Bacterial small subunit ribosomal RNA", at positions 28 to 417 of the family's 1533-position model. The record is from RNAcentral.